This 21-nucleotide microRNA is filed under the name Mus musculus (house mouse). Its description in RNAcentral is "mmu-miR-3091-5p". Lineage: Eukaryota; Metazoa; Chordata; Mammalia; Rodentia; Muridae. The record is from miRBase by way of RNAcentral.
CAUGGGUCUGGUUGGGCCCGC